GACGAACGCUGGCGGCGUGCUUAACACAUGCAAGUCGAACGGAAAGGCCCUGCUUUUGUGGGGUGCUCGAGUGGCGAACGGGUGAGUAACACGCGAGUAACCUGCCCUUGACUUUGGGAUAACUUCAGGAAACUGGGGCUAAUACCGGAUAGGAGCUCCUGCUGCAUGGUGGGGGUUGGAAAGUUUCGGCGGUUGGGGAUGGACUCGCGGCUUAUCAGCUUGUUGGUGGGGUAGUGGCUUACCAAGGCUUUGACGGGUAGCCGGCCUGAGAGGGUGACCGGCCACAUUGGGACUGAGAUACGGCCCAGACUCCUACGGGAGGCAGCAGUGGGGAAUAUUGCACAAUGGGCGGAAGCCUGAUGCAGCAACGCCGCGUGCGGGAUGACGGCCUUCGGGUUGUAAACCGCUUUCGCCUGUGACGAAGCGUGAGUGACGAUAAUGGGUAAAGAAGCACCGGCUAACUACGUGCCAGCAGCCGCGGUGAUACGUAGGGUGCGAGCGUUGUCCGGAUUUAUUGGGCGUAAAGGGCUCGUAGGUGGUUGAUCGCGUCGGAAGUGUAAUCUUGGGGCUUAACCCUGAGCGUGCUUUCGAUACGGGUUGACUUGAGGAAUUUAGGGGAGAAUGGAAUUCCUGGUGGAGCGGUGGAAUGCGCAGAUAUCAGGAGGAACACCAGUGGCGAAGGCGGUUCUCUGGGCCUUUCCUGACGCUGAGGAGCGAAAGCGUGGGGAGCGAACAGGCUUAGAUACCCUGGUAGUCCACGCUGUAAACGGUGGGUACUAGGUGUGGGGUCCAUUCCACGGGUUCCGUGCCGUAGCUAACGCUUUAAGUACCCCGCCUGGGGAGUACGGCCGCAAGGCUAAAACUCAAAGGAAUUGACGGGGCCCCGCACAAGCGGCGGAGCAUGCGGAUUAAUUCGAUGCAACGCGUAGAACCUUACCUGGGUUUGACAUGGAUCGGGAGUGCUCAGAGAUGGGUGUGCCUCUUUUGGGGUCGGUUCACAGGUGGUGCAUGGCUGUCGUCAGCUCGUGUCGUGAGAUGUUGGGUUAAGUCCCGCAACGAGCGCAACCCUUGUUCACUGUUGCCAGCACGUUAUGGUGGGGACUCAGUGGAGACCGCCGGGGUCAACUCGGAGGAAGGUGGGGAUGACGUCAAGUCAUCAUGCCCCUUAUGUCCAGGGCUUCACGCAUGCUACAAUGGCUGGUACAGAGAGUGGCGAGCCUGUGAGGGUGAGCGAAUCUCGGAAAGCCGGUCUCAGUUCGGAUUGGGGUCUGUAACUCGACCUCAUGAAGUCGGAGUCGCUAGUAAUCGCAGAUCAGCAACGCUGCGGUGAAUACGUUCCCGGG
This 1343-nucleotide ribosomal RNA is filed under the name uncultured bacterium. Its description in RNAcentral is "16S ribosomal RNA". It matches the Rfam family "Bacterial small subunit ribosomal RNA", at positions 28 to 1378 of the family's 1533-position model. The record is from RNAcentral.